Molecule: long non-coding RNA, 1247 nt
Filed under: Zea mays
Lineage: Eukaryota; Viridiplantae; Streptophyta; Magnoliopsida; Poales; Poaceae
Description: long non-coding RNA (ZMAY_LNC003048)
Source: RNAcentral
GCCAGGGUCCUUCCCUCGAGAACAUAUACGCGGUCCUCCUGCCCUCAUCGCCCAACCACCUUUUAGCCAAUUAGGGGCCGUAUUUGCCUAGGGUCCAUUACCGCGGGUGGGGGAUGUCCGCCGCGGAGGGAGCUUUGAUUCACCGGCAUUGAGGCUCCGGUGCUUGCCUGGGGAUACGCUCUGGGAGUCGGGGAACACUCUGGUGUGGGUCACUAGGCAGGCGACCAUCUCGUGGCUGUGAAUUUCUCACCGGAGCUUCGGGAAUCGACGUGGAAUCGCCUCACCGCGCGAGCAGGGGAAUCUUCACCGCGAAUCCAGGUAAACGGAGCACCAUUCAUUUCGAGAUUCACUGGGCGUCGUGUAGAGAGACUCGGAUUAAGGUUUUGGUGACCAACGUGCGGAAUGGUGCGCAGUCCGGUCGUGCGCCGCCAUGCUUCAGGCGGCGCCGCCGUGGGUGUUCCGCGCGCAGGAAGAAAUGCGAUCCGAUGGGUGUCUCGGCCCUCAGAUCAUGAUCGGGUGGUCCUGGUUGGAUCACGUUUCAUUAAAACCCAACCGUUAGAUGUCGAUCGGGUGGCCCAUGUGGCGUAACCGUUCGGGUGGGAGUGGAUCUAAUCCGUGCCUUUGGAUUUUGAUCCAACGGCCCAGAUAUCGCGAUACCCUUUCGCCCUGGCGUUUUGCUUAAGAGACCCUAGGUUCCUUUGAAAUAGAACCCGCCAUCCACUUGCACUGUGCUCUGGGUCUCUGGAUUUUUACCCCGAGCCCCCUGUGCUUCACAGAAAUUGAGGCCCAGUCCAGGGACUGUUUAAAUGGAAUAAAUGAAAUAGAAAAUGGAUUUUUAUUAUGAAAAUAACUACUAGAACUUAAUAAAUUCAUAGAAAAUUCAUACUAACUCCAAAUCACUCCAUUCCAGUUCCUAAAAUUUUGUAAUAUUAUUAUCUAUCAUCUAGAGUCUCUGUUUUGUCAUGAAAACAGUAAGAAAUUUAUUUCUCACUUAAUCCUAUUUAAAGCACAUAAAACCUUUGAAAAUCCAUAACUUAAAUUCUAUAACUCCAAAAAUUAUGAUUCCUGUUCCUAGAAUUUUAUUUUAAUGUGUAGAUUAUUUCUGUGUAUUUUGUUUAUAUGUUUGGUGUAAUGUUAAUUUCUCUACAUGCACUGUGCUUGUUUGUAUUGUGGCGAGUAGAAGAGCCCGUGACCGAGGAUCCUGGUGAGCAGCAGGUUGAAGUAGCUGAGCAGGAGCUCAUUGAAGG